This 494-nucleotide ribosomal RNA is filed under the name uncultured bacterium. Its description in RNAcentral is "partial 16S ribosomal RNA". It matches the Rfam family "Bacterial small subunit ribosomal RNA", at positions 28 to 507 of the family's 1533-position model. The record is from RNAcentral.
GACGAACGCUGGCGGCGUGCUUAACACAUGCAAGUCGAACGGUGAAGCGCCUUCCUUUUUGGCGGGUGUGGAUGAGUGGCGAACGGGUGAGUAACACGUGAGUAACCUGCCCCCUCCUUCUGGAUAACCGCAUGAAAGUGUGGCUAAUACGGGAUAUUCUGGGUCUGUCGCAUGAUGGGUCUGGGAAAGCUAUUGUUUCGGUGGGGGAUGGGCUCGCGGCCUAUCAGCUUGUUGGUGGGGUGAUGGCCUACCAAGGCGGUGACGGGUAGCCGGCCUGAGAGGGUCGACGGUCCUGCUGGUACGGAGACAUGGACAAGACUCCGGCGGGAGGCAGCAGUGGGUAAUAUAGCACGAUGGGCGGAAGGCUGAAGCAGCGACGCCGCGGGAGAGAUGGAGGCCUUCGGGUUGUGAACCUCUUUCGCCGGUGAAGCAGGCCUGCCUCGUUUGUGGGUGUGUUGACGGUAGCUGGAGAAGAAGCGCCGGCUAACUACGUG